This 465-nucleotide ribosomal RNA is filed under the name uncultured bacterium. RNAcentral's name for it is "partial 16S ribosomal RNA". It matches the Rfam family "Bacterial small subunit ribosomal RNA", at positions 28 to 507 of the family's 1533-position model. The record is from RNAcentral.
GACGAACGCUGGCGGCGUGCUUAACACAUGCAAGUCGAACGGAAAGGCCCUGCUUGCAGGGUGCUCGAGUGGCGAACGGGUGAGUAACACGUGGGUGAUCUGCCCUUCACUUCGGGUUAAGCCUGGGAAACUGGGUCUAAUACCGGAAAGGCGCGAGGUUUAGUGUGAUGGUUGGACAGUCUUUUCGGUGUAGGAUGAGCUCGCGGCCUAUCAGCUUGUUGGUGGGGUAAUGGCCUACCAAGGCGGCGACGGGUAGCCGGCCUGAGAGGGUGGACGGCCACAUUGGGUCUGAGGGACGGCCCAGACUGCUACGGGAGGCAGCAGUGGGGAAUAUUGCACCAUGGGCGCCAGCCUGAUGCAGCGACGCCGCGUGGGGGAUGACGGCCUUCGGGUUGUAAACUCCUUUCGCUAGGGACGAAGCUUUUUGUGACGGUACCUAGAUAAGAAGCACCGGCUAACUACGUG